This 253-nucleotide ribosomal RNA is filed under the name uncultured bacterium. Its description in RNAcentral is "partial 16S ribosomal RNA". It matches the Rfam family "Bacterial small subunit ribosomal RNA", at positions 524 to 776 of the family's 1533-position model. The record is from RNAcentral.
GACGGAGGGUGCAAGCGUUGUUCGGAUUCAUUGGGCGUAAAGGGUGCGUAGGUGGCGCCGUAAGUCAGGUGUGAAAUUUCGGAGCUUAACUCCGAAACUGCAUUUGAUACUGCGGUGCUUGAGGACUGGAGAGGAGACUGGAAUUUACGGUGUAGCAGUGAAAUGCGUAGAGAUCGUAAGGAAGACCAGUGGCGAAGGCGGGUCUCUGGACAGUUCCUGACACUGAGGCACGAAGGCCAGGGGAGCAAACGGG